CGCGCUGUGUACCCUGCUCUUUGUGCCAUGGCAGCAAGCUGUCCAUGCUGCCAACCGCUUCAAUGAGUCUAUCAGUGUGCUGCGAUGCCAGGCCUACUGCCCUGAUGGACUGGAGAGGUGCCAGUCCUGUACCAAAUAACACCAACCACUGGCUGUGUGUGUGCCCAUUGUCUCUCCUGCCUGAGAUUCCUGGUUCAAAUCAACCCAAGAUGAUAAACACUGAAGAUGGGACAAAGUGCAUGACAAGGUGGCCCAGAAGAAGCCAGCUGUUCUCAAACCCUACAUUUCCCCAUUCUAAAAAGAGUUGUUGAAUGAAUACCUCUAGUGGAGGGGUGAGAAGAGCCCCAUGAGGAUCGUUACAGAGCCCCAUGAGGAACACCUGGUGCUGCGCUGACAUCUCUCUCCUGGAUGCUCUCUUGCCCAAACUGUCCCUUUGUGUGUUUCACCACCUCUGAACCCUCCUAACCCAAAUAGAGUUGCCCCUGACCAU
Molecule: long non-coding RNA, 490 nt
Organism: Coregonus clupeaformis (lake whitefish)
Lineage: Eukaryota; Metazoa; Chordata; Actinopteri; Salmoniformes; Salmonidae
Exons: 3
Source: RefSeq, a predicted model, not a curated record